ACUAAGCCGGAUGGAAGCUAGAGUCCAUUUUAGAGCUGCGGUGCCUACAGUCUCCGCCUUCAAGGAGCUAAUGGAAGAAUUGUGCGCACACAAUUCAUUUUGGCGAAAAGGAAAAAGGUGGGGAAUAGCCUUGACUCCGGCGGAGGCAGCUUUCUAACGACGCUCUCCCAUCAGAGGCGCCCGCCCGGGCCCGGCUCCGCAGCGGGGAAGCGGGGCCCGGCAACGCGGCCGAGCCCCGAGCCCCCACCCCGCCUCGGCCCCGGGAGCCUUCGACACCGCGCGGCCCGGGCCGUGGAGACGCCCUCCGGCCCCCGUCCCCACCCGCGCCCGCGUCCAGUCCGCGGGCCAAGUCGUCUCCCGCCCGCGGGAAGCGAGGCCGAGGGUUGUGCGUGUUGGGCGGGGGAGGGCGGGAGAUGGGUACGUCUCUCCCGGCCGGAAAACGGAAUUCUUGGGCCCCAGGCGCGGUGUGCUCAGUGAAACGUAUAUUUAAAAAAGAAAUAAAAUUUUUAAGGUAAAAAGAGAAAACUAAACAUCUACCAGGAGUGGGGUUCGAACCCACGCGGACAUCGUCCAUUGGAUCUUAAGUCCAACGCCUUAACCACUCGGCCAUCCUGGUACAGGCGAACGGUCUGCAGUUCACUCUUCCUACAAGCAGUGUUCCACCGUCCUCGAACCCUCCUCUAAGAAUUUCUGAGGAGUCUUCGCCGCUGUUUUCCCGGUUUUUUCACCCCAAGCUGGAGCGACCUCCCCGCCAGAGCCUCGGUUUCCCGCCGCCGCAGCUUUGCCCGCGGCCCGUCGCGGCAGGGAGCGCAACUGCAACCGGGUUGGGCCCGCUGGCGGCGGGGACGCUCGGCUGGUAGAUCCGAGCGGGACUCCGGCGCAGCCAGGGGUGCUUUCGGUUUCGAGGUGCGCGGGCGCGGGAAACAAACACACCAUGCUUUCCGUCCAUCUUGUGCACCGGUUUGUCGUCUCACCUCCUUUACCAAGACGGCCACUGCAUUCCCCACCCCACCCCAAGACCUCGACAUGACCACAGAGCCAUGGCUCUGGUGUUGUGGAGCGUCGGGGAGCCUGGGAACCGAGCACGGUCUGGCAGCAACGCCCCGGUUCCUACAGUGCAGGCGGCUGCCUUUGACCGAGAACUUCUAUCAUCCUGGAGCCUGCACAAAUUCACCUGGGUGGGACCUCACCGACUGACUCUUCACCUGCUAGGUCCUACUGUAAGAACCGCAUUGCCCUGCUGCCUCCUGGAACUUGUGUGACUGCUGUGACCUGGGUCCCAGUCAAGAACAUUGACUGCCCCUGAGAGUCCCUGAGGGUAACAACCGGUGGAAUUGCCCCCUACCUACUUCCGCCACACGACGCUUGGCAUUGCUCUAAGCUCAUUACAAAUAUUAUCUAGUUGUUGUUGUUGUUUUUAACAACCCUCUAUAGCAAGAGUUUAUAUCACCAUUUUCAAGUUUAGAGAUGCAGUUAAAACUCACUCAAAUAUACGAAGAAGAGGCCUCUUAGACAUGCAGUCCUGCACCCCAAGGCCAUUACAGAGCUUCCUUACCACCUAUCUGGCUGUCAAAUCCUCCAUGAUCUUCUGGAACAUGGCCGUAGACUAUUUAAACGAUAUUUUCAUUUAACCCCAGACUUAGCCUCGCAAAGACCUCUAGUACAAAACAGUUCUGAACUGUUUUCAUCAUAGAGUGCCCUUAGCAGUGCCUCUUCUGCAGCCUCAAGAUUGUGUUAAAUUUCUGUGGCCACUGGUUAAGGACGGGCCUGGAACACAAGUUAGUCUAGUCAGAGUUACACGUAACUCUGAGCUAUUGGAGAAAAUUUCACUCUGCGGCGUGGCAGAUGGUGUUUUUCCAAAGAGGACCACGACAUUACCUCCCAUCCCACCUGUUACUUUAUCUUCCUACCCUGUGGGGUUUUUUUUAAUUUGAGAGACAGAGAGAGACAGUGUGAGCAGGGGAGCGUCAGCCUUCAGUUGAUCCUAGCAACUAACCAUCAAGUGACGUAGCCGUUGAAUCUUCCCAGCUAAGCACCCAGAUCAUGGAACAGGGACAUGAAGCUAUCCCUACUGUAUCCUUGCCCAAUUUCUGACUCACAAAAUCUAUGGGCAGAAUAAAAAUGUUACUGUUUAGGUUUGUUUGUUUGUUUUUUUAAAUGAAACAAGAGUUAAUAAAAAGUCGGAGACGAGUAAACGGGAAUACUGUUAUAAGGACUAGGAGCACCACACAGAGACAGGGUGUCUGGGAAUUAAGCCAACACAAGAAAGCAGAAUCUCGAAGUGAGGCAUCCAAGGUGUGAGUCCAUCAUUGGAGUCCUUUCCUUCCCCUUCCUGGAAACUGGAUUCUGGGCCAUGCUCCCCCUUUGCCAAAUUGACAUCCUUCAUGGGACUCUCUGGGUGGAGGAACACGAGUUCGAUCCGUAGGUUCUAGCCACAAAGGAGGUUAAGAAGGAAAGUUCUAGCUUCGGCCUUAGGAAGAGGACUUAAAAUGGAGGAAAUUCCCCAAACAUGAGAAGGGUGUUCAAAGACGCUGGCAACUGGAAGGCAUGACAAAUAUCCACUUGAGCGUUGGAACAAAAUGUGAAAAGCACUGUGCCGUGACGUUUGUAAUAACUGACAAUGUUAGACAGCAAGUGACAAUAUUAAGACAAAUUUUGCAACACUGAAGUGGCUUCAUGUUCAGGAAAUUGCGUUUGACAUACUUCUUAUGGGCAAAUGUUUCACUGUGCAUGUGUUUAUGUGAGCCAUGAUAUUCUUUAUGCAUUUUUUGAUGAUUUAAAAAGAAUGUUCACAAAUGUUUUGACACUCCUCCCUUCGAGAGAUGGAGCUUAAGUCCCUUCCCUUUCAGUGUGGGCUGAAUCCAGAGACUCAUGUCUAACAAGCAGGAUAAAACCAAAGAGGUUUUAUACACAACCUCAGAGAUUAGGUCAUCAAAAGCCACUGCUGUCAUUGUCUUGGAUCUCUCUCUUUUGGAUCAUUCCCUUUGGAGGAAACCAGCUUCCUAUCACAUGCCACAAGCAGCCCUUUGAGGCUCCAGGAGAGAAGAGCAGCCGGCAAGGUACUGAAGUCCCACAUGCGUGAGCUUGGAAACAGAUACCCCCACCCAGUCGAACCUUCUGAUAACUGUAGUCCCGGCCAACAUCUUGACUGCAACUUUAUGAGAGACCCUGAACCAGAACCACCAGCCAACCCCUGAUUUCCUGACCCUUAGAAACUAUAUAAGAUAAUAAAUAUCUAUUGGUUUAAGCA
Molecule: long non-coding RNA, 3250 nt
Organism: Suricata suricatta (meerkat)
Lineage: Eukaryota; Metazoa; Chordata; Mammalia; Carnivora; Herpestidae
Exons: 2
Source: RefSeq, a predicted model, not a curated record